Molecule: transfer RNA, 63 nt
Filed under: Machla sappho
Lineage: Eukaryota; Metazoa; Arthropoda; Insecta; Coleoptera; Tenebrionidae
Description: tRNA-Phe
Source: RNAcentral
ACUUGAAUAGCUUAAUUAAGAGCAUGAUAUUGAAGAUAUCAAGGUAAUAUGCGUAUUUUCGAG